AUGAAGUGUGCAAUGUCUGCAGACAGUAGCAUCCUUGGUAGUGUACGCAGCCUAUUGCUAGUAUGGGUUGCCUUAAGGGACCUUGGAUACAGCC
Molecule: small nucleolar RNA, 94 nt
Organism: Pteronotus mesoamericanus
Lineage: Eukaryota; Metazoa; Chordata; Mammalia; Chiroptera; Mormoopidae
Product: small nucleolar RNA SNORA70
Exons: 1
Source: RefSeq, a predicted model, not a curated record